This 250-nucleotide ribosomal RNA is filed under the name uncultured prokaryote. RNAcentral's name for it is "partial 16S ribosomal RNA". It matches the Rfam family "Bacterial small subunit ribosomal RNA", at positions 524 to 774 of the family's 1533-position model. The record is from RNAcentral.
UACGGAGGAUGCGAGCGUUAUCCGGAUUUAUUAGGUUUAAAGGGUGCGCAGGCGGCGCUUCAAGUCGGCGGUUAAAGUUCCGGGCUCAACCCGGUGAUGCCGUCGAUACUGCUGUGCUGGAGUGGGAUCGAGGCAUGCGGAAUGCGUGGUGUAGCGGUGAAAUGCAUAGAUAUCACGCAGAACUCCGACUGCGAAGGCAGCGUGCCAGGUCCCUACUGACGCUGAGGCACGAAAGCGUGGGUAUCGAACA